Molecule: long non-coding RNA, 322 nt
Organism: Dama dama (fallow deer)
Lineage: Eukaryota; Metazoa; Chordata; Mammalia; Artiodactyla; Cervidae
Exons: 2
Source: RefSeq, a predicted model, not a curated record
AAGUGCGCCUGCGCGUUAGCCAGAGGUUGAAGAUGGCGUUAAAGUUCUGCUAGCUUCAUUCCUCAACCUUUCUUCGUCACUGUCCUGGCCCUCUAGUGGCGAUCUGCGCUUGCGCAAGCAGCCUUGUCUCUACUGACAGAGCUGAUUAUGUGAAGUUCAGCUGACAGAAACGGAACUGACUGCGAUUCAUCUCUGUGACCUGGGACAAGUCACUUCAGUUCUCGGAGUUUCCUCUUGCUUAUCCUGGAGAUAAUGACCCUUAUUCUUUCUACCUAGCAGAAUUGUUGUGAGGAUUAAAAUAAAACAAUGAAUAGAAUGCCAA